RNAcentral lists this ribosomal RNA (425 nucleotides) under uncultured bacterium. RNAcentral describes it as "partial 16S ribosomal RNA". It matches the Rfam family "Bacterial small subunit ribosomal RNA", at positions 354 to 796 of the family's 1533-position model. The record is from RNAcentral.
GUGGGGGAUAUUGCACAAUGGGGGAAACCCUGAUGCAGCGACGCCGCGUGAAGGAAGACGUACUUCGGUAUGUAAACUUCUAUCAGCAGGGAAGAAGAUGACGGUACCUGACUAAGAAGCCCCGGCUAACUACGUGCCAGCAGCCGCGGUAAUACGUAGGGGGCAAGCGUUAUCCGGCUUUACUGGGUGUAAAGGGAGCGUAGACGGUGAAGCAAGUCUGAUGUGAAAACCCGGGGCUCAACUCCGGGAUUGCAUUGGAAACUGUGUUACUUGAGUGCUGGAGGGGCAAGCGGAAUUCCUGGUGUAGCGGUGAAAUGCGUAGAUAUCAGGAAGAACACCGGUGGCGAAGGCGGCUUGCUGGACAGUAACUGACGUUGAGGCUCGAAAGCGUGGGGAGCAAACAGGAUUAGAAACCCCAGUAGUCC